UUUCCGUAGGUGAACCUGCGGAAGGAUCAUUGUCGGUAACUGAACAAAUAGACCGUGAACAUGUUUUAACACUAGGGAUCGCUGCGUGGGGCAACCUCGUAGUGUGUCCUCCUCCCGCGUGGGCUGUGGGCUAACAAAAACCGGCGCGGCAUGCGCCAAGGAAAACUCAUAGGACCGCCUGCCCCCAUUGCCCCGUCUGCGGUGAGCGAGGGGGGCGUGCCUCAAUGUCUAAAUGACUCUCGGCAACGGAUAUCUCGGCUCUUGCAUCGAUGAAGAACGUAGCGAAAUGCGAUACUUGGUGUGAAUUGCAGAAUCCCGUGAACCAUCGAGUCUUUGAACGCAAGUUGCGCCUGAAGCCUCACGGCCGAGGGCACGCCUGCCUGGGCGUCACGCAUCUCGGCGUCCCCCGCCUCCCCCGGAUAUUGGCCUCCCGUGGGCAUUGGCCCUCGGCUGGCUUAAAUGAAAUCACGUGGUGCCUGCCGUCACGACAAGCGUUGGUUGAGCACUACACUCUCUACCUGUCGUGUUGGGAGCACCUCAUACUGACGGACCCAACGGUGCGAGUGAUCGUGCCUAUGUACGCGACCCCAGGUCAGGCGGGAUCACCCGCUGAGUUUAA
This 619-nucleotide ribosomal RNA is filed under the name Buchnera americana. Its description in RNAcentral is "eukaryotic LSU rRNA". The stretch from base 235 to 390 matches the Rfam family "5.8S ribosomal RNA". Lineage: Eukaryota; Viridiplantae; Streptophyta; Magnoliopsida; Lamiales; Orobanchaceae. The record is from RNAcentral.